This 372-nucleotide ribosomal RNA is filed under the name uncultured organism. Its description in RNAcentral is "bacterial SSU rRNA". It matches the Rfam family "Bacterial small subunit ribosomal RNA", at positions 526 to 896 of the family's 1533-position model. The record is from RNAcentral.
CGUAGGUGGCAAGCGUUGUCCGGAGUUACUGGGUGUAAAGGGCGUGUAGGCGGGAAGAUAAGUCAGAUGUGAAAUUCCAUGGCUCAACUGUGGCGCUGCAUCUGAAACUAUUCUUCUUGAGUGAUGGAGAGGAAAGCGGAAUUCCUAGUGUAGCGGUGAAAUGCGUAGAUAUUAGGAGGAACACCAGUGGCGAAGGCGGCUUUCUGGACAUUAACUGACGCUGAGGCGCGAAAGCGUGGGGAGCAAACAGGAUUAGAUACCCCGGUAGUCCCAGCCGUAAACGAUGGAUACUAGGUGUCGGGGGUAUCGACCCCUCCGGUGCCGCAGCUAACGCAUUAAGUAUCCCGCCUGGGGAGUACGGCCGCAAGGUUG